AACGAACGCUGGCGGCAUGCCUAACACAUGCAAGUCGAACGAGACCUUCGGGUCUAGUGGCGCACGGGUGCGUAACGCGUGGGAACCUGCCCUUAGGUUCGGAAUAACUCCCCGUAAGGGGUGCUAAUACCGGAUAAUGUCUUCGGACCAAAGAUUGAUCGCCUUUGGAUGGGCCCGCGUUGGUUUAGCUAGUUGGUAGGGUAAAAGCCUACCAAGGCGACGAUCCAUAGCUGGUCUGAGAGGAUGAUCAGCCACACUGGGACUGAGACACGGCCCAGACUCCUACGGGAGGCAGGAGUGGGGAAUAUAGGACAAUGGGCGAAAGCCUGAUCCAGCAAUGCCGCGUGAGUGAUGAAGGCCUUAGGGUUGUAAAGCUCUUUUACCCGGGAUGAUAAUGACAGUACCGGGAGAAUAAGCACCGGCUAACUCCGUG
This 433-nucleotide ribosomal RNA is filed under the name uncultured bacterium. RNAcentral describes it as "partial 16S ribosomal RNA". It matches the Rfam family "Bacterial small subunit ribosomal RNA", at positions 29 to 507 of the family's 1533-position model. The record is from RNAcentral.